Molecule: transfer RNA, 78 nt
Filed under: Acidobacteriota bacterium
Lineage: Bacteria; Pseudomonadati; Acidobacteriota
Also listed under: 1 other name
Description: Acidobacteria bacterium tRNA-His
Rfam family: tRNA
About the family: Transfer RNA (tRNA) molecules are approximately 80 nucleotides in length. Their secondary structure includes four short double-helical elements and three loops (D, anti-codon, and T loops).
Source: RNAcentral
GUGGGUGUAGCUCAGUUUGGUUAGAGCGCCAGGUUGUGGCCCUGGAGGUCGCGGGUUCGAAUCCCGUCAUCCACCCCA